CCCCUGGAGACCCUUCCCACCCUCUACACCCUCAGUUGGAGACCCUUCCCACCCUCUACACCAUCAGGUGGAGACCCUUCCCACCCUCUACACCCUCCGGUGGAGACCCUUCUCACCCUCUACACCCUCAGGUGGAGACCCUUCCCACCCUCUACACCCUCAGGUGGAGACCCUUCCCACCCUCUACACCCUCAGGUGGAGACCCUUCUCACCCUCUACACCCUCAGGUGGAGACCCUUCCCACCCUCUACACCCUCAGGUGGAGACCCUUCCCACCCUCUACACCAUCAGGUGGAGACCCCCAGAGUACCCAUGGCCAAGUAGAAUGUGUUCAAACAUUCAUUUGUUCCUCGUUCCGCUGUAGGACUACUAAAUGCUAAGUCAGUUGUGUCUGUAUAUGUACUUAUCUAUCUAGGGCAGUUGGGACAGCGGUCUGUUUUGAGUGAAUGUAUCAAUGUCCUCUAUGUUGUUAGUGUACAACAUGAUGGACUGACUGGUUUAGAUGUGUAUGAUGUGAGAAUGUACAGUACAUGUAUGUGAUUAUUUUAAUGGGUGGUGAUGCCAAAGAGAAAUGUUUAUCCUGGAUGGAC
This is a long non-coding RNA of Oncorhynchus tshawytscha (Chinook salmon), 590 nucleotides long. Lineage: Eukaryota; Metazoa; Chordata; Actinopteri; Salmoniformes; Salmonidae. The record is from Ensembl.